Molecule: unclassified non-coding RNA, 387 nt
Filed under: soil metagenome
Description: partial contains 5.8S ribosomal RNA, internal transcribed spacer 2, and large subunit ribosomal RNA
Rfam family: 5.8S ribosomal RNA (bases 1-120)
Source: RNAcentral
GAUGAAGAACGCAGCGAAAUGCGAUAAGUAAUGUGAAUUGCAGAAUUCAGUGAAUCAUCGAAUCUUUGAAUGCACCUUGCACCCUUUGGUAUUCCGAAGGGUAUGCUCGUUUGAGUGUCAUUGUACUCUCACACUUCUAAUUCCUUUCGGGAUUGGGAGCGGUGGACUUGGGUGUUGCUGCUUUAGUUGUGGCUCACCUCAAAUAAGUUAGUGCAACUCUUGGUUGGACAUAGUACGGCGUGAUAAGUGUCUUCGCCGGCGCCUCUGUAAGGAGGGUGGCCGAUCGGGAGCUCUGUGCUUCAAACCGUCUUCGGACAAUCUUUGACAACUUGACCUCAAAUCGAGUAGGACUACCCGCUGAACUUAAGCAUAUCAAUAAGCGGAGGA